UAUUUGGUUGUAAACCUCUUUUAUUAGGGAAGAUGAUGACUUACCUAAAGAAAAAGUCCUGGCUAACUUCGUGCCAGCAGCCGCGGUAAUACGAAGGGCCCGAGCGUUAAUCGGAAUCACUGGGCUUAAAGGGUGUGUAGGCUGUUUUGUAAGUAUCUUGUGAAAUCCCAAGGCUCAACCUUGGAACUGCUGGGUAUACUGCAAAACUUGAGGUCGGUAGGGGCAGCUGGAACAAUAGGUGGAGCGGUGAAAUGCGUAGAUAUCUAUCGGAACGCCAAAGGUGAAGACAGGCCGCUGGGCUCGUCCUGACGCUGACGUACGAAAGCAUGGGUAGCGAACGGGAUUAGAUACCCCGGUAGUCCAUGCCGUAAACUUUGUUCACUAGGUGUUGGGGGCAUCGACCCCUUCAGUGCCAAAGAUAAUUCGUUAAGUGAACCGCCUGGGGAGUACGACCGCAAGGUUAAAACUCAAAGGAAUUGACGGGGGCCCGCACAAGCAGUGGAGCAUGUGGUUUAAUUCGACGAUACGCGAAGAACCUUACCAGGACUUGACAUCCGCAGAAUCCCCUAGAGAUAGGGGAGUGCCCUCGGGAACUGCGUGACAGGUGGUGCAUGGCUGUCGUCAGCUCGUGUCGUGAGAUGUUGGGUUAAGUCCCGCAACGAGCGAAACCCUUAUCUUAUGUUACCAGCACGUUAUGGUGGGGACUCAUAAGAGACUGCCCGUGGAAAGCGGGAGGAAGGUGAGGACGACGUCAAGUCAUCAUGCCCCUUACGUCCUGGGCUACACACAUGCUACAAUGGCCGGUACAAAGGGCUGCAAAACCGCAAGGUCAAGCGAAUCUCAUAAAACCGGUCUCAGUUCGGAUUGUAGUCUGCAACUCGACUACAUGAAGUUGGAAUUGCUAGUAAACGCAGAUCAGCUACGCUGCGUUGAAUACGUUCCCGGGCCUUGUACACACCGCCCGUCACACCAUGAGAGUCGGAAACACCCAAAGCCAAUGUGCUAACCUUCGGGAAGCAGUUGUCUAAGGUGGAGCUGGCGAUUGGGGUGAAGUCGUAACAAGGUAGCCGUACCGGAAGGUGUGGCUG
Molecule: ribosomal RNA, 1088 nt
Filed under: bacterium
Lineage: Bacteria
Description: bacterial SSU rRNA
Rfam family: Bacterial small subunit ribosomal RNA
Source: RNAcentral